UACGUAGGGGGCUAGCGUUGUCCGGAUUUAUUGGGCGUAAAGAGCGUGUAGGCGGCCAGGUAAGUCACCUGUGAAAACUCUGGGCUCAACUCAGAGCCUGCAGGCGAAACUGCCGUGCUGGAGUGUGGGAGAGGUGCGUGGAAUUCCUGGUGUAGCGGUGAAAUGCGCAGAUAUCAGGAGGAACACCAAUGGCGAAGGCAGCUCACUGGGACGGUAUUGACGCUGAGACGCGAAAGCGUGGGGAGCAAACAGG
This 253-nucleotide ribosomal RNA is filed under the name uncultured bacterium. RNAcentral's name for it is "partial 16S ribosomal RNA". It matches the Rfam family "Bacterial small subunit ribosomal RNA", at positions 524 to 776 of the family's 1533-position model. The record is from RNAcentral.